Molecule: ribosomal RNA, 299 nt
Filed under: Aureobasidium sp.
Lineage: Eukaryota; Fungi; Ascomycota; Dothideomycetes; Dothideales; Saccotheciaceae
Description: partial large subunit ribosomal RNA
Rfam family: Eukaryotic large subunit ribosomal RNA
Source: RNAcentral
CCCUAGUACGGCGAGUGAAGCGGCAACAGCUCAAAUUUGAAAGCUGGCCUUCGGGUCCGCAUUGUAAUUUGUAGAGGAUGCUUUGGGUGAAACGCCAGUCUAAGUUCCUUGGAACAGGACGUCAUAGAGGGUGAGAUCCCGUAUGUGACUGGAAAUGUUAACCUAUGUAAGCUCCUUCGACGAGUCGAGUUGUUUGGGAAUGCAGCUCUAAAUGGGAGGUAAAUUUCUUCUAAGCUAAUAUUGGCGAGAGACCGAUAGCGCACAAGUAGAGGUCGAAAAGAAACCCUUGAAAAAGUUAA